This 390-nucleotide ribosomal RNA is filed under the name uncultured bacterium. RNAcentral describes it as "bacterial SSU rRNA". It matches the Rfam family "Bacterial small subunit ribosomal RNA", at positions 28 to 419 of the family's 1533-position model. The record is from RNAcentral.
GACGAACGCUGGCGGCGUGCUUAACACAUGCAAGUCGAGCGGUAAGGCCCUUUCGGGGGUACACGAGCGGCGAACGGGUGAGUAACACGUGGGUGACCUGCCCUCAGCUCUGGGAUAAGCCUGGGAAACCGGGUCUAAUACUGGAUAUGACUCCAUGACGCAUGUUGUGGGGUGGAAAGCCUUGUGCGGCUGAGGAUGGGCCCGCGGCCUAUCAGCUUGUUGGUGGGGUGAGGCCUACCAAGGCGACGACGGGUAGCCGGCCUGAGAGGGCGACCGGCCACACUGGGACUGAGACACGGCCCAGACUCCUACGGGAGGCAGCAGUGGGGAAUCUUGCGCAAUGGGCGAAAAGCCUGACGCAGCGACGCCGCGUGAGGGAUGACGGCCUGG